GACAGAGGGUGCAAACGUUGUUCGGAAUUACUGGGCGUAAAGCGCGCGCAGGCGGCCUUGCAAGUCGGGCGUGAAAUCCCACGGCUCAACCGUGGAAGUGCACUCGAAACUGCGAGGCUAGAGUCUUGGAGAGGAAGGCGGAAUGCUGGGUGUAGAGGUGAAAUUCGUAGAUAUCAAGCGGAACACCGGUGGCGAAGGCGGCCUUCUGGACAGUAACUGACGCUGAGACGCGAAAGCGUGGGGAGCAAACAGG
RNAcentral lists this ribosomal RNA (253 nucleotides) under uncultured bacterium. Its description in RNAcentral is "partial 16S ribosomal RNA". It matches the Rfam family "Bacterial small subunit ribosomal RNA", at positions 524 to 776 of the family's 1533-position model. The record is from RNAcentral.